ACCAGUGUGGCAUAGUGGUUUGAGUGUUGGACUACAACUCUGGAGACCAGGGUUUGAUUCCCCGCUCAGCCA
This is a non-coding RNA of Phrynosoma platyrhinos (Desert horned lizard), 72 nucleotides long. Lineage: Eukaryota; Metazoa; Chordata; Lepidosauria; Squamata; Phrynosomatidae. The record is from the annotation of a GenBank genome assembly.